CCUACGGGAGGCAGCAGUGAGGAAUAUUGGACAAUGGGCGCAAGCCUGAUCCAGCCAUGCCGCGUGCAGGAUGACGGUCCUAUGGAUUGUAAACUGCUUUUGUACAGGAAGAAACACUGGUUCGUGAACCAGCUUGACGGUACUGUAAGAAUAAGGAUCGGCUAACUCCGUGCCAGCAGCCGCGGUAAUACGGAGGAUCCAAGCGUUAUCCGGAAUCAUUGGGUUUAAAGGGUCCGUAGGCGGUUUGGUAAGUCAGUGGUGAAAGCCCAUCGCUCAACGGUGGAACGGCCAUUGAUACUGCCAGACUUGAAUUAUUAGGAAGUAACUAGAAUAUGUAGUGUAGCGGUGAAAUGCUUAGAGAUUACAUGGAAUACCAAUUGCGAAGGCAGGUUACUACUAAUUGAUUGACGCUGAUGGACGAAAGCGUGGGUAGCGAACAGGAUUAGAUACCCUGGUAGUCCACGCCGUAAACGAUGGAUACUAGCUGUUGGGAGCAAUCUCAGUGGCUAAGCGAAAGUGAUAAGUAUCCACCUGGGGAUCGUUCGCAGAAGAGANANAANAGAGUAGAGNGNGAGAGAGCGAGGACGACGACGAGGGAGGUAGG
Molecule: ribosomal RNA, 604 nt
Filed under: uncultured bacterium
Lineage: Bacteria
Description: bacterial SSU rRNA
Rfam family: Bacterial small subunit ribosomal RNA (bases 1-532)
Source: RNAcentral